UACGGGGGGAGCAAGCGUUGUUCGGAUUUACUGGGCGUAAAGCGUGCGCAGGCGGUCUGCUAAGAGAGAUGUGAAAUCCCCGGGCUUAACCUGGGAACUGCGUUUCUAACUGGCAGGCUUGAGUGUGGCAGAGGGGGGUGGAAUUCCACGUGUAGCAGUGAAAUGCGUAGAGAUGUGGAGGAACACCGAUGGCGAAGGCAGCCCCCUGGGCUAACACUGACGCUCAUGCACGAAAGCGUGGGGAGCAAACAGG
This 253-nucleotide ribosomal RNA is filed under the name uncultured bacterium. Its description in RNAcentral is "partial 16S ribosomal RNA". It matches the Rfam family "Bacterial small subunit ribosomal RNA", at positions 524 to 776 of the family's 1533-position model. The record is from RNAcentral.